CUGUCUGUUUUCUUUGAGAAUCAAAGAAUUGCAGCAAGUCUUCUAGGUUUUCAAUGAAAUUUCCUUGUUUUUCAGAUAAUCUGUAUAGAGUGGCACCUUAACCACCACUGGUGAAAUAGAAGAUGACUAGUGGAUGGUCAUCACUUUGCAGCUCACUUUCACUUUCUGCAGCCCAUCUCUUCUCAUUCACAAUCAUUGUCUUUGGAGGAAUGGUGACAGUGCAGUCCUCAUGACUGGGCAGGUCUACUGCAUGUUGACAGCUGAUACUUGUUCUCUAUUUACUCCGAGAGGCCUACUACACAUUGUACCUCAGUUAUGACUGUACUCGUGCUGGCUUCUAUGAUGUUAAUUUCCUUUACCUGCACUGCGUUAAACUUGGUCAAUUCUGUUACUGUCGAACACCAACAGAUGAAAAUAAGAUUUAGCUGAUCCUGCCAACAUUGUGACAUAAGCGGUCCAAUGUCCAAUAUCUCACUCUGCAGUCAAACAUAAUUUUUUUUGUAUGAACGCUCAGUAAAACAUUGGAAAUGUUAGACUUUUUUAGUAUUGAUUUAUAUAGUUACAUAUUUUUAAAAUAAUAACAAUUCUUUUUAUUGAUGUAUGUUUAAGUAUGCAAAAAUGAACAUUGAUGAUAUUAAAGGUGAGGUAUUUAUUUGUGAUUUAUCUUCUGAAUAAAAUUUUAUAUCAAUAA
Saccostrea echinata is the source of this 691-nucleotide long non-coding RNA. RefSeq lists it as uncharacterized. The transcript is spliced from 2 exons. The record is from RefSeq and is a predicted model, not a curated record. NCBI's taxonomy places the organism in Eukaryota, Metazoa, Mollusca, Bivalvia, Ostreida, Ostreidae.